CAAACCCUACACCCCACCCCACCCCAAUCCCUCCAGCCGCCGCUGCCCCACCCAUGUUUCUCCUCCACCCCCUCCUCCCUCCUCACCUCCCGGACCAGCCACCGUCGCGCCGCUGGGGUUCGUCCGCCGCGGGUUUCCACGGGGAAGGAGAAGCGACGGGGGUAGGCCCCAAGCGGCGCACACUUCAUGGGGAGGCAAGGAACUAGGAGGUGAUGGGGUCGGAUCUUGUGGUGCUAGGUCGGAGCUCGAUCCCUCGCCUCCCGAACCAGCCGUCGCCGCGCUGCUGGGCUUGGGUUUCCAUGGGGAAUCACUACACAGCAGCACGCCUCCCUCCUUCAUCAUCGUCAUCAGAGCCGCCGCACCUCUCCUUCCUCCUCACUCGCACCCCUGCUGCGGCGCGCAUCCCCCCCCUUUCGAUCUAAUUUCAUUCUUGUUUCACAUUUGGUUUGGUUGGCAAGAGACGUUGCCGUGCCGACUGCAGUAGCCAGGGUUGGCGUUGGUGAUGUCUGUAGGUAUUUUCGUCCUCGCCAGUCACACAUUUACUAGGUUAUGGGACUGGAUCUCCCUUUUCUAAGAUUCUUAGCUGAUAAGUAUAUUGUGCAGAAAAGUCUCUACAGAAUGAUGUUGUGCACAUCCAAAUCCAAGCAAUUUGGAUACUCCAUGGGGCAAAGUUGAAGCUUUGUACAUCACUUCUCUCCAUGUUUAUUAAUGUUUCUUCAUGUUUGGCAGUGAUAUGGGUUUCCAUGUACUUUAUAUAUGCAUUCCUUGUGUUCCAUCUAUGUAUAUAUGUUUCUGCCCAUAAAUGUAUUUAUGAGCUGACUCCAUUUUUUACUGCUUUUCUGUGGCAAUUUGAAAAGGACCCUUAAAUGGUGCUCAGCCACCAUCCGAUUUCGAGGGAGAAUAGGAGACCCCGACGAAAAUGAGCGUCCUAGCAGCGAACCCAAGGAUGCCGGUGAUUACGGCAGGUCCAUGCUCCUGUUCUUCUAUUGGGCUACGCCCCCAAUGGUGAAAAUCCCCUACAGAAUGGUGCUGGAUGUCCUUUUAGAAUCUUUGGGCCUGCCAGUGGCUGAGUAUCGAACCAAAGCAUGCGACCUCUUUGAAGUGCAGCACCAUCCUACCCCCUUUGGCCCUUCCCGUCCAGUUUUGCCUCACCAUAGGAGGAAGACGGGAGCUGCCUACCUGCCUGCUACCCCAAAAGGAUGCGCCACCCAGUCAGCCGAGUGAUGGUAGAUCCAAGUGGAAAUGGCUCUGGCUCACUGGUUUUGGUUCAGUUUGAAGGGCUCUCGGGGCAAAAGAUAAUUGAGUUGUUGAAUCUAAAUAUUAGUCAGUACAAACUUCUAUCUGUAAAGUUUAGAUACAAUUAUGUGUCUUGAAUUAUUUUUAUUUCCUGUUUCUUAUGCUAGGCCUAAGAUAGGUGUAUUUGCUGUUUAGGUUGGUUCUAAACUACAUGUUUCCUAAUUUUAUAGUUUUUUAGCUUUCAGAAAAACUAUAAAAUUAGGAAACAUGUAGUUCAGAAUAAAGAAUGAAAGGCUAAAUUCUUAUUUCAGGAUUACACUCAUGACUUUCAGACUGCUGAACAUAUUUGAUACAUCUUCCACCUCUCCGCUACUACCACCAAGCAUGGAAAGACUGCGGUUGCAGUAGCGACAAUGACUCGUUUCACUCUUUGUCUCAUGAUGAUUGGUUGGCUGCAGGGGCACCGCGAGGAGUGGAGGAUCGAGGUCGUGGGUUGCCAGCUUCAAAUUUUGGUUGAGCACUUCCUCAAUAAUCUUGUUGAGGUGUCUGUUUCCCCUCUUUGUAUCAUGAAUGAUUGUGUUGGCUGUAGGGUCUCCGCAAGGAGUUGAAGGCUGAGGUCAUGGUUGCCAGCUUCAAUUUUUUGCUGAGCAAUUCCUCAAGAGUCUUGCCAAGAUCUGAGGAUGAAGGGAAGAAGAAGAAUUUAACUAAAGAGUUCAAGAAGAUGAAGGUGAAUUUUCUUCCCUUUGUUCUUCUAUUCUGAUGUUAAGAUUUGUGAUGGCUAGAUGAGAUUUCUGGUGAAAAUUUCCCAUUCUUUUAUUUACCUACAGAUCUUGAAUGCACGAUUGAUGAUUUUGCUGGAUAGGUUACAAAUCUAAAUAAUAAACAUUUUUAAGUGAUGUGGUUGGUACACAUGCGAAGCUAAGAAAAUAUAUAGUUUACUCACAGUGUUGUUUGAUCCAUUGUUGUGUGACACGCUCGCUGAUGGUCUGGCAAUGCUGCAUAUACAUCUGAAUGCCAAUGAUAGUAUGGUUUAGAUAGACAAGUUAAUAAUUUCUUUUUCUUCAUCAAGUUUAUGCUUCCAUUGAUCUACAUUUAAUUUAAUUCACAAACCAGACACCCUUUGGAGUAGCCAAUGUGUAUCUCUGAAUCUUGGCACUUGGGUGUUAUAUGUAUUUCAUUGGUUCAUCGCUCACUGUAGCAAUGCACGGGCCAAAGACAAUCGGCAAUAAAAACAAUCUGCUUGCAAGUUCUAUAUUACCAGCGGAGGCUUUGCCAAGAGGAAGGGUAAUUCGUGCAGGGAAUAAACCUUACAUGGUAAUCAAGGGGAACAUGCUUUAUAAGUUGAGCUUUUUGUAAGCUAAGCUAUGUUUUUCAACCCGUUGUUCUUUAGAUAUCUUCCUUUUACAUUUUUUAUAUGCGAUGGUUAGUUGAUCAGGCUGAGUGCUUCUUUGCAGUGCUUGCUUUAUUGGAACAUGUUCAUUUGGCUAAUAAAACAGUACACAUCUCUCUUGAAUUAUGUGCAUCUCCUUUUUAGUUAUUUGAUUUUUUAGUGACUCGCUAAUUGGAAAAUCAGGAUGCUAAAACUUGGCAUAAUGAAUUCUUGAAUUACGUACUUCUUAUUGUGCAUGUCAAACUGAGGACUAAAUAUAUUUUUAGUUGAGCUAUUGUUUUGAGUAUUUCCCUGCAACAACUUAAAUUACUUUUUGCAAAUAAAAUGAGCUAGCAUAUGCUAUACUUGCAAUGGUAAAUUAAUUAUGCAGUUAUGAGGAUUGAGGAAAUUAAUGGUCAGUCAAUCAUUGAGGGUUUGAAAGAGCCAUCAAGGCAACGAUCUCAUUUCAUCUCAUGCACUGAUUUUGUUAUCUUCUUUAUAUGGCAUUUUAUUAAUUAUUUAUAUAUAUUUGCCGUAUUGCUGUUUCUAAAAAUUGCUGUAUCCUUUGUCCCCAUUUCCGUAUCGCCGUAUCUGUGUUGCCGGUGCACCAUAGCAAUUAAUUAUUGAAGAAAAAUGCCCCUUUUCUUGUCCCAUUGCUCGAUAAGCAUGAUCGCAUUUCCACCGAUUGAUUAUAAAUAUGGCCUUUCUUUUGAUUAUUUGGUGGUACUUCUGAUUGGCACUAUGAGGUGCUUCUUCGUCGUGUAGAUUCAUCCUUUACUUAAAUAUUGAUGAUGAUAUGGUUGUAAAUUAGUCUGGUAUAUGCCAAUAGUUGUCUCUCCCAGAAGAAUUUUUGUGAGAAUAGCGUACCUAAAGAGUUGGUUGUUUGUCUGGAUUGAACACCCAGCUAUAAGAAUGGGUUGACAACACCGAUUGACUCUAUUGGCGCUUCUAUGUUGUCCGGCUUCAUCAUUUACUUAUACACUGAUGAUAUUGUUGUCAGCGUGUUGUAAGUACUUUGGGAAACAAGUCUGGUAUAUUACAAUGAUGUAGUCCUGCAGAUCAGUACAGGUCACUGGCUUUAUAUUGUGGUCAGUGUGUUGUAAGUACUUUGGGAAACAAGUUCUGGGGUAAAUUUAUCUGCUUGCUCAUGCAUUUUAAUACUUGAUUGAUGUCUUGAUAAUUUGUGAAGUUCUGUGUACCAUGUGAUAAGCUGCACAUCAGGUUGCAUGGCAGCUUGUUUGUUUCUUUUAGGAUGUGCAUGUACCCAGGUGGAUCAAAUAUAGAUACCAAUCAUAUAUUAUUAUUUUUACUCAUGUGUUUUUCUUGUGCCUCCCAAACAUUUCGAGGGAUUAUAUAUAUCAUUCAGAUGUAUUCAGGCUGGGUUUCUAUGAUCCAAAAAAAUCAUCUGCCAUGGCUUUCUUUUUACAUACAAAACUAAGUGUGGAGCAGUGUAUAACUAUAUAUGUUCAUUGUUUUCUUAUCACAUCGCAUUUGUCGGAGGUGUUGUACUGAUUUGAAGGAAAUGCUUUUAUAUUUCCAAGUUGAUCAACUACACAACUUCUGAUCCUAAAGCCUUUCUUUAAAAGGGGCUGGUCAAUGCAGCUCCAUGUUGUGCUAUCUUGCUAUUGGGCUCUUUUUUCGUUACUUAAAAUGGUCAGAUAUCUCUGAUGUUAAAUUCGUGGUUGAUUGCUUAUAUCCAAAAGAACUAUGUUAGUACACUGAAGCCAAUUUCUACAUUGUUAGUGAAGUUGGCUAAAUAGUUUUUGCGCCACUAAGAUAUAUAUGUGCACUGCAUUCUAACCAUGUAAAUUGUUGUGCUAUUAGUUUAAUCCGGAAUAUAAUUAUGUUAGUACACUCUGCAAUAUAAUUAUGUUAUAUUCUGCUUUUGUCAGUUUGCUGGUCCAUACUAAUUUCCUCGAGCUUAUUUUCACAUCUCGUCAUAUUUACACCUCUCCGCCGACUGCCACCUAUCAUGGAGGGAGAUGGCUUGGCCAGGCCGUCAACACUCAUCGGCAACUUCGGGCAGGCACCGCCCCGUUCUUCCUCCCCUUACUCUGAUGCCUUCAUGGCCAAAAUCAUUAGUAGAAGCAAGAAGGUUAAGCACCGAUUAUGGUUAAAGCUUUGUCUCUUUUAUGUACUAUGCAUGAUUGAUCUGAUUUUGCUGGUUAGCUUACAAAUUCAAGUAAUACGACUAUUGCAAUGCAUAUUACUACGUGUGUAUUUAUUUCCA
Triticum aestivum (bread wheat) is the source of this 4835-nucleotide long non-coding RNA. RefSeq lists it as uncharacterized. The record is from RefSeq and is a predicted model, not a curated record. The transcript has 7 exons. NCBI's taxonomy places the organism in Eukaryota, Viridiplantae, Streptophyta, Magnoliopsida, Poales, Poaceae.